Molecule: transfer RNA, 72 nt
Filed under: Dipodomys ordii (Ord's kangaroo rat)
Lineage: Eukaryota; Metazoa; Chordata; Mammalia; Rodentia; Heteromyidae
Rfam family: tRNA
About the family: Transfer RNA (tRNA) molecules are approximately 80 nucleotides in length. Their secondary structure includes four short double-helical elements and three loops (D, anti-codon, and T loops).
Source: Rfam by way of RNAcentral
GGGAAUGUGGCUUAGUGGUAGAGCGCUUGCCUAGCAUGCAUGUAGCCCUGGGUUCGAUUCCUCAGCACCCCA